CGGCGUGCGUAAAACAUGCAAGUCGUACGGCCUCUUCGGAGGCAGUGGCAGACGGCUGAGUAACGCGUGGGAACCUGCCCCGGGGUGGGGGACAACCGUCCGAAAGGAUGGCUAAUACCGCAUCCGGUCGCUCGUAAGAGCGAAGAAAGCCGCAAGGCGCCCUGGGAGGGGCCCGCGUCCGAUUAGCUGGUUGGUGGGGUAACGGCCUACCAAGGCGACGAUCGGUAGCUGGUCUGAGAGGAUGAUCAGCCAGACUGGGACUGGGACACGGCCCAGACUCCUACGGGAGGCAGCAGUUAGGAAUUUUGGGCAAUGGCCGCAAGGCUGACCCAGCAACGCCGCGUGGGGGACGAAGGCUCUCGGGUCGUAAACCCCUUUUCCCAGGGACGAUGAUGACGGUACCUGGGGAAUAAGCCCCGGCUAACUACGUGCCAGCAGCCGCAGUAACAC
RNAcentral lists this ribosomal RNA (450 nucleotides) under uncultured bacterium. RNAcentral's name for it is "bacterial SSU rRNA". It matches the Rfam family "Bacterial small subunit ribosomal RNA", at positions 40 to 526 of the family's 1533-position model. The record is from RNAcentral.